UACGUAGGGGGCAAGCGUUGUCCGGAAUCAUUGGGCGUAAAGAGCGUGUAGGCGGCCCGAUAAGUCCGCUGUGAAAGUCCAGGGCUCAACCCUGGGAUGCCGGUGGAUACUGUCGGGCUCGAGUCCGGAAGGGGCGAGUGGAAUUCCUGGUGUAGCGGUGAAAUGCGCAGAUAUCAGGAGGAACACCGAUGGCGAAGGCAGCUCGCUGGGGACGGUACUGACGCUGAGACGCGAAAGCGUGGGGGAGCAAACAGG
Molecule: ribosomal RNA, 255 nt
Filed under: uncultured bacterium
Lineage: Bacteria
Description: partial 16S ribosomal RNA
Rfam family: Bacterial small subunit ribosomal RNA
Source: RNAcentral